CCGAAUUGUCAACAAGAGUUGUUGCUGGUCUUCAAAAUGAGGGCAUGUGCACGCUCUGUUUACACAUCCACUCACACCUGUGCACUUUCCAUAGUUCUAUAGUUGGAGAGGCCCUGCCUCCCUUCCAUGGUCCUAUGUCUCUUCAUACACACACACACUCGGUGAUACAGUCUUGUGGAAUGUAUGCUGCGUUUGACGCAAUACAAUA
Molecule: unclassified non-coding RNA, 208 nt
Filed under: uncultured Thelephoraceae
Lineage: Eukaryota; Fungi; Basidiomycota; Agaricomycetes; Thelephorales; Thelephoraceae
Description: sequence contains ITS1
Source: RNAcentral